Molecule: ribosomal RNA, 467 nt
Filed under: uncultured bacterium
Lineage: Bacteria
Description: partial 16S ribosomal RNA
Rfam family: Bacterial small subunit ribosomal RNA
Source: RNAcentral
GAUGAACGCUGACAGAAUGCUUAACACAUGCAAGUCAACUUGAAUUUGGGUUUUUAACUUAGGUUUGGGUGGCGGACGGGUGAGUAACGCGUAAAGAACUUGCCUCACAGCUAGGGACAACAUUUGGAAACGAAUGCUAAUACCUAAUAUUAUGAUAAUAGGGCAUCCUAUAAUUAUGAAAGCUAUAAGCGCUGUGAGAGAGCUUUGCGUCCCAUUAGCUAGUUGGAGAGGUAACGGCUCACCAAGGCGAUGAUGGGUAGCCGGCCUGAGAGGGUGAUCGGCCACAAGGGGACUGAGACACGGCCCUUACUCCUACGGGAGGCAGCAGUGGGGAAUAUUGGACAAUGGACCAAGAGUCUGAUCCAGCAAUUCUGUGUGCACGAUGAAGUUUUUCGGAAUGUAAAGGGCUUUCAGUUGGGAAGAAAGAAAUGACGGCACCAACAGAAGAAGUGACGGCUAAAUACGUG